Molecule: ribosomal RNA, 610 nt
Filed under: Debaryomyces hansenii
Lineage: Eukaryota; Fungi; Ascomycota; Pichiomycetes; Serinales; Debaryomycetaceae
Description: eukaryotic LSU rRNA
Rfam family: Eukaryotic large subunit ribosomal RNA
Source: RNAcentral
UGCAUAUCCAAAAGCGGAGGAAAAGAAACCAACAGGGAUUGCCUUAGUAACGGCGAGUGAAGCGGCAAAAGCUCAAAUUUGAAAUCUGGCACCUUCGGUGUCCGAGUUGUAAUUUGAAGAAGGUAACUUUGGAGUUGGCUCUUGUCUAUGUUCCUUGGAACAGGACGUCACAGAGGGUGAGAAUCCCGUGCGAUGAGAUGCCCAAUUCUAUGUAAAGUGCUUUCGAAGAGUCGAGUUGUUUGGGAAUGCAGCUCUAAGUGGGUGGUAAAUUCCAUCUAAAGCUAAAUAUUGGCGAGAGACCGAUAGCGAACAAGUACAGUGAUGGAAAGAUGAAAAGAACUUUGAAAAGAGAGUGAAAAAGUACGUGAAAUUGUUGAAAGGGAAGGGCUUGAGAUCAGACUUGGUAUUUUGCGAUCCUUUCCUUCUUGGUUGGGUUCCUCGCAGCUUACUGGGCCAGCAUCGGUUUGGAUGGUAGGAUAAUGACUAAGGAAUGUGGCUCUACUUCGGUGGAGUGUUAUAGCCUUGGUUGAUACUGCCUGUCUAGACCGAGGACUGCGUCUUUUGACUAGGAUGUUGGCAUAAUGAUCUUAAGCCACCCGUCUUGAAACAC